CCUACGGGGGGCUGCAGUGAGGAAUAUUGGUCAAUGGACGAGAGUCUGAACCAGCCAAGUAGCGUGAAGGAUGACUGCCCUAUGGGUUGUAAACUUCUUUUAUAUGGGAAUAAAACGUUCCACGGGGGGGAUUUUGUAUGUACCAUAUGAAUAAGGAUCGGCUAACUCCGUGCCAGCAGCCGCGGUAAUACGGAGGAUCCGAGCGUUAUCCGGAUUUAUUGGGUUUAAAGGGAGCGUAGGUGGAUUGUUAAGUCAGUUGUGAAAGUUUGCGGCUCAACCGUAAAAUUGCAGUUGAAACUGGCAGUCUUGAGUACAGUAGAGGUGGGCGGAAUUCGUGGUGUAGCGGUGAAAUGCUUAGAUAUCACGAAGAACUCCGAUUGCGAAGGCAGUUCACUGGACUGCAACUGACACUGAGGCUCGAAAGUGUGGGUAUCAAACAGGAUUAGAUACCCCUGUAGUC
This 460-nucleotide ribosomal RNA is filed under the name uncultured bacterium. RNAcentral's name for it is "partial 16S ribosomal RNA". It matches the Rfam family "Bacterial small subunit ribosomal RNA", at positions 338 to 795 of the family's 1533-position model. The record is from RNAcentral.